GUGCUCACUUCAGCAGCACAUACACUAAAAUUGGAAUGAUACAGAGAAGAUUAGCAUGGCUCCUGCCCAAGGAUGACACGCAAAUUUGUCAAGCGUUCCAUAUUUUA
RNAcentral lists this small nuclear RNA (107 nucleotides) under Myotis davidii. The record is from RNAcentral. Lineage: Eukaryota; Metazoa; Chordata; Mammalia; Chiroptera; Vespertilionidae.